This is a long non-coding RNA of Diospyros lotus (date-plum), 369 nucleotides long. RefSeq lists it as uncharacterized. NCBI's taxonomy places the organism in Eukaryota, Viridiplantae, Streptophyta, Magnoliopsida, Ericales, Ebenaceae. The record is from RefSeq and is a predicted model, not a curated record. The transcript has 2 exons.
ACGGUAAAAAAGGCCUUGGACCUCUCGAAGCCAGGGUAUUCAGUUGGGUAGAAAUGUAGGCGGAUGAAUUUUUGGCCCGGAGUGACAUGGAAAGUGUAGGCGAAUGUGGACCGAGAAAUCUGAGCUGUCAUGUAGGGGACGGGAUGAGUAGGAGGAAUUAGGUGCUUUCCAACGGGAGUAGAGCUUACCAAAUUGCGUCUCCCUCUGGAUCCUCGCAAAAUGAUGUAUCUGGAAGCAACGUCACCGGUCCAUUGCCGGCCAUCUAGAGCAGUUGAGUUGCCAGAGGAGCCGCAGUUGACGGCGAUGAUGUCAUCCGCUAGUAGUAGUGGGGAGCACAGAGGAGCAAACUCGCUGACAGACAGCAAAAUA